Long non-coding RNA from Prionailurus viverrinus (fishing cat), 639 nucleotides. RefSeq lists it as uncharacterized. The record is from RefSeq and is a predicted model, not a curated record. NCBI's taxonomy places the organism in Eukaryota, Metazoa, Chordata, Mammalia, Carnivora, Felidae. The transcript has 3 exons.
UGUUCCGCCUUCUUCCCGGGCCUUUGUGCGGCGGCUCCAGGCCUGAAAGGCCCGUGUCCAACACAUGUCUCGGGCGGCGGCCCAGAGAGGCCCCGCCAGCUUCGGCCGCCGCUUCCCGGCGCUGAUAACGCGGGCGGGGGGCGCCGCUGGGCUGCGCGGCCCACAAAGGCCUCGAAUGCCAAGCAAGGGCGCAUUGUGCGACGAGGACAAAGAAGCGCGGCAGGGCGGGGCUCAGCCUGAGCCGCCAGGCCCCUCCCACAGGGCGGAGAGGGGCCCUUUCCCCAUCUCCGAGAAGGGAAACUGAGGCCCAGGAAGUUUCCUCCUCUUAAGAAUGGAGAUACUAUCAAUACCUGCCUUACUGCUGACCCCGCGGCGGCGAGGAUUAGACAAGCGACCAGCAGCACAACACUCGCGAGAGCACUGGGCACCUGCCGCGUGCCCGAUUUGUUAAGCACCUGCGACAUCUCAGAUGCAGUUCUAGGCACCGGGCUUAUGGCAACAAGCAAAACAGACCCAAAUCCCAGCUCUCAGUGCCUUCCUCUUAAGCAGGAAGAGAAAGACACAAACAAUCACAUCAGUAAAACAGGCAGUAUAUCAAAUGGUGAUAGGUGCUUUGGAGAAAAAUAAAGCAGGGGAAGG